ACUCAAAGGAAUAGACGGGGGCCCGCACAAGCGGUGGAGCAUGUGGAUUAAUUCGAAGCAACGCGAAGAACCUUACCAAGGCUUGACAUCUCUCUGCAACACUUAGAAAUAAGUGCCUCCUUCGGGACAGAGAUGACAGGUGGUGCAUGGUUGUCGUCAGCUCGUGUCGUGAGAUGUUGGGUUAAGUCCCGCAACGAGCGCAACCCUUGUCUUUAGUAGCCAGCAGCUAGGCUGGGCACUCUAGAGAGACUGCCGUGGAUAACACGGAGGAAGGUGGGGAUGACGUCAAAUCAUCAUGCCCUUUAUGCCUUGGGCUUCACACGUGCUACAAUGGCUCUUACAAAGUGAUGCAAACCGGCAACGGCAAGCAAAGCACAAAAAAAGAGUCUCAGUUCGGAUUGGGGUCUGCAACUCGACCCCAUGAAGUUGGAAUCGCUAGUAAUCGUGAAUCAGCAUGUCACGGUGAAUACGUUCCCGGGCCUUGUACACACCGCCCGU
RNAcentral lists this ribosomal RNA (498 nucleotides) under uncultured bacterium. RNAcentral describes it as "bacterial SSU rRNA". It matches the Rfam family "Bacterial small subunit ribosomal RNA", at positions 899 to 1397 of the family's 1533-position model. The record is from RNAcentral.